Salvelinus sp. IW2-2015 is the source of this 2448-nucleotide RNA transcript. It is a transcript of the gene named complement decay-accelerating factor-like, with no coding region annotated. The record is from RefSeq and is a predicted model, not a curated record. Lineage: Eukaryota; Metazoa; Chordata; Actinopteri; Salmoniformes; Salmonidae.
AGUGAAAUGAUCAACACACAGUUGAAGUCGUCGAUGGUCUGGGACUGAUCAGUAAGCUAUAGAAACUCAACAAGGAUAGAGAAAUUGUUAGGUCGAGACACUGACUUGUCUUCACAUAAAUUCGACUUUAAAAUGUUUUAUUCAAAUUCAUGGACCAAGUGCUUGAUAUGCCUUAUCUUUAUAACAAGUGGAGAUUCUGAAUGUCCCAAACCUCAAGUGGAGGGAAAUCAAAAUGUCUUUCUAACGAAUGAUGCGCUCCUAAAGAACGAUUUUCCGGAGGGCUCGGAAGUCACGUUUCAAUGUGCCAACGGCUACAUGAAAGAGCAAGGAUCUGAAAGCGUCACCUGCACGAGUGGAGAGUGGAGCACCCUGGAAUUAAUCUGCAAACAUAAGGACUGCGGUGCACCCAAGGAGAUGCCACAUUUGACAUAUGAGUUUGAUAAGGGAGGGACGCUUUUUGGUGCUUCAGCAAGAGCAAUUUGUGAUAAAGGCUAUCAAGUUCAGGGAUCAAGUUACAGGCAGUGUUAUGCCACAGGUUGGAGUGGAAGAUCAAGAUGUGAAGUGGUAACUUGUGAAGAWCCUAUUGAUAUAAUGAAUGGCAUGAUCUCAGAGAAGCCUGACAAACAGUUUCCAGAGUAUGGGGAUGUCAUACAGUAUUCCUGUGAUGAAGGUUACACCCUCAUUGGAAACAAAUCCAUUGAGUGCGAUGAAGAUGGUGAAUACAACUCAUUCCGUCCUGAAUGCAAAGAUGUCAAUGACAUUCCUUUGAAACCAACAACCAUAUCAGCAUCAAUAACAUCGACUGUUCCACCCACAAUACAAGUUUCAGGGACGCAUCAUAGCAUUGGUGAACAUGACACCAACACAGCUACAAAUGUCAAUGACAUUCCUUUGAAACCAAUAACAACAUCGACUGUUCCACCAACAAUACAAGAUUUUUCCAGCUCACAUGCAGCAGUCGUGGGAAGUGUGAUCGGCUUCGUCAUAGUUACACUUAUUGUGCUGUUCGUAUUAUAUCGUUUUCAGAAGAUGAAAGGCUCCUACCAGACAGGAGAAGACUCAAGAAGAAAAGAGGAGUUAUUACAAUUUCAAAAUGACUAAGUUGAAUGCCUACCCAAGGGCUAGGACUGCUCCUGUCUGCGUCCUUGAAAAGAAGUGCCCAGUAAUUGUCUCAGACCAUUCCCUGGUUGAACAAAGCCACUUAAUUUACAGUGCCUUUACGUAUGUGACAUUACUGAAAGAAAGUUAUAAUUGUACUUUUGUUAUGAAGAUGUAAAUAUUUUUUGAAAGUCAAUGUAAAUGUUUUAACCCAAUGUUUGAAGACUAAUAUUUAAAUAUUUUAUGUAAAAAAACUGGAAUAUGUGUAAUAAAAAGCUUUUUGCCUUGUCAAAUACCAUAUUUGUCUACAAGUUGCUAGUCAGCUGUGUUGAGUGGGCAGAAGGCCCUGUAAUAAGAUUAAUGCACUAAACAAAAUGUAUGAUUGAGGAAAUCCCCAGGCUGAUCAUCUCUGACCAUUCCUAAAUGUGUGCGGAAUGAUUGCGGCUCAAAGGAAAAUAAUCUGGGUCUGGUAAAGCGGACAUUCCUGUUAAAUCUACUGUAUUUAUUUUCAAGUAGGCUCAAUGUGGGUCAGGGAAACCAGCUCAUGUUMAUUUCCUCGCCCCAAAUGUGUGAUUUAAAGGAAAGGUUCGCCCAUUUUGAAUGUUAUAUUUUUUUUGGUGCAUCUGAGUGAUGUUCUAUCGAUUCCCUGGGUCUUUUCACGUGUAUCCGAGUUAAUGGCGUUCAAGCAGGCAGACGUGGCCGGUAUUACGUAGCACCGUGAUAAAGUCCCUCUCACUACACUGAAGUUAAUAGGAAUACAACUUUUAGAUCGCAAAUGUCUAUCAUACAUGUCCGAUUGUAAUACUKGCCGACGUCAUAACUCGGGAGGAUGUCUUUCGAAUGAGCCAUUGAUCAUAUUUUUGCGAUAUUUCUACAUUGAGAUGUGUAAUUUGACGAAUGGUCUAGCAUAUUGUUCCUAUUUGCCUCUAGUCCAUGGUGCUGUUGCCAAAGAUCUUAUAGAAAUUCGUGCUAAUGUCGUUUUGUCUAGCUAGUGCCCAAUAGACUCCCAUUCACAUCAAGGAGAGCGCGUCUUGUCGCAGAAUUGCCCAGAAUGCACCGCGCGGCCCCUUGGUGUAGCUUGGUCRGCGUUUCCUAUCUCCUCAAAAGUACAUCUGCCGUUGCGAAUGUUAUACUCCAUUCUGUGAGGCACAUCGAUCUGCAGGUUGAACAUGGUCCCUGCAUGAGGCUUCUGGUAUCUGAURCAAUGGAGACAUUGAGGCAAAACGUCAAUAAGUAACGCUUCACAACAGGGGRCUGUACUGUAAAUUCCUAAAUGAUGCAAAUAUUUUUUUCUGUUCUGGUUACAUAUGUAUUUCAUGGAUCAUCAAAAUAAACAAAUGUACACAUGUA